Molecule: non-coding RNA, 47 nt
Filed under: Echinostoma caproni
Lineage: Eukaryota; Metazoa; Platyhelminthes; Trematoda; Plagiorchiida; Echinostomatidae
Source: RNAcentral
GCGCUGCUGACGAGUCCCAAACAGGAUGAAACACAGCUGUCCAGUGC